GGAUUAGGACAUGUCAAAAAUAAACGAACGUACAUGUGCACCAAGAUAAAAGGUUGAACACAUCCAAGUUAUGGGAGUGAAGAAAUAAGAUGUAGACUUAUAAUGACCUAGGAAGAAGUGAUUAAGAAUUAUGUAAUAGCAAUAGACAUUUCUAUAAAAACAGCCCUAAAAUAAAUAGAGUAGAUACAGAUGAUCCAUACAAUCAACCAAAAAUGAAUUGGGAUUAAAGCUUAAUUAAGUUGAUUUGAGCAGUUUCACAAGUUCAAUUUAAGUAAUUUGCAACGGCAAUUCCAGCUCUGCAAUCAGCAUGGGUAUGUCUCUCAUGCAUUUCAAAAUAGUGUGUCUCAUUCGAAGUUA
This 357-nucleotide unclassified non-coding RNA is filed under the name Hevea brasiliensis (rubber tree). The record is from RNAcentral. Lineage: Eukaryota; Viridiplantae; Streptophyta; Magnoliopsida; Malpighiales; Euphorbiaceae.